CCUAACACAUGCAAGUCGAGCGCAGGAAGCAAGCUGAUCCCCUUCGGGGGUGACGCUUGUGGAAUGAGCGGCGGACGGGUGAGUAACACGUGGGCAACCUGCCUGUAAGACUGGGAUAACCCCGGGAAACCGGGGCUAAUACCGGAUAAUACUUUCUUUUGCAUAAAGGAAAGUUGAAAGGCGGCUUCGGCUGUCACUUACAGAUGGGCCCGCGGCGCAUUAGCUAGUUGGUGAGGUAACGGCUCACCAAGGCGACGAUGCGUAGCCGACCUGAGAGGGUGAUCGGCCACACUGGGACUGAGACACGGCCCAGACUCCUACGGGAGGCAGCAGUAGGGAAUCUUCCGCAAUGGACGAAAGUCUGACGGAGCAACGCUGCGUGAGUGAUGAAGGUUUUCGGAUCGUAAAACUCUGUUGUUAGGGAAGAACAAGUACGAUAGUAACUGAUCGUACCUUGACGGUACC
Molecule: ribosomal RNA, 465 nt
Filed under: uncultured bacterium
Lineage: Bacteria
Description: bacterial SSU rRNA
Rfam family: Bacterial small subunit ribosomal RNA
Source: RNAcentral